GAUGAACGCUGGCGGCGUGCUUAACACAUGCAAGUCGAACGAGAAGUGGAGACGGAAACCUUCGGGCGGAAGACUUUAUUUCGAGUGGCGGACGGGUGAGUAACGCGUGGGUAACCUGCCUCAUACAGGGGGAUAACAGUUGGAAACGACUGUUAAUACCGCAUAAGACCACAGCACCGCAUGGUGCGGGGGUAAAAACUCCGGUGGUAUGAGAUGGACCCGCGUUCGAUUAGCCAGUUGGCGGGGUAACGGCCCACCAAAGCGACGAUCGAUAGCCGAUCUGAGAGGAUGACCGGCCACAUUGGGACUGAGACACGGCCCAAACUCCUACGGGAGGCAGCAGUGGGGAAUAUUGCACAAUGGGGGAAACCCUGAUGCAGCGACGCCGCGUGAGUGAAGAAGUAUUUCGGUAUGUAAAGCUCUAUCAGCAGGGAAGAAAAU
RNAcentral lists this ribosomal RNA (441 nucleotides) under Lachnospiraceae bacterium oral taxon 419. Its description in RNAcentral is "bacterial SSU rRNA". It matches the Rfam family "Bacterial small subunit ribosomal RNA", at positions 28 to 452 of the family's 1533-position model. Lineage: Bacteria; Bacillati; Bacillota; Clostridia; Lachnospirales; Lachnospiraceae. The record is from RNAcentral.